Molecule: unclassified non-coding RNA, 332 nt
Filed under: uncultured fungus
Lineage: Eukaryota; Fungi
Description: partial contains 5.8S ribosomal RNA and internal transcribed spacer 2
Rfam family: 5.8S ribosomal RNA (bases 1-133)
Source: RNAcentral
UGGUUCUGGCAUCGAUGAAGAACGCAGCGAAAUGCGAUAAGUAAUGUGAAUUGCAGAAUUCAGUGAAUCAUCGAAUCUUUGAACGCACAUUGCGCCCAUUAGUAUUCUAGUGGGCAUGCCUGUUCGAGCGUCAUUUCAACCCUUAAGCCUAGCUUAGUGUUGGGAGACUGCCUAAUACGCAGCUCCUCAAAACCAGUGGCAGAGUUUUUACGUACUCUGAGCGCAGUAAUUCUAUUCUCGCUUCUGAAAACGUCUAGACGAUAGCCAAAAACCGCUUGCCUCGGCAGCACUUUUUAAUGGUUGACCUCGGAUCAGGUAGGAAUACCCGCUGA